RNAcentral lists this ribosomal RNA (1093 nucleotides) under Neocucurbitaria unguis-hominis. RNAcentral's name for it is "SSU rRNA". It matches the Rfam family "Eukaryotic small subunit ribosomal RNA", at positions 36 to 1139 of the family's 1831-position model. Lineage: Eukaryota; Fungi; Ascomycota; Dothideomycetes; Pleosporales; Cucurbitariaceae. The record is from RNAcentral.
UUCAAAGAUUAAGCCAUGCAUGUCUAAGUAUAAGCAAUUAUACCGUGAAACUGCGAAUGGCUCAUUAAAUCAGUUAUCGUUUAUUUGAUAGUACCUUACUACUUGGAUAACCGUGGUAAUUCUAGAGCUAAUACAUGCUGAAAACCCCAACUUCGGGAGGGGUGUAUUUAUUAGAUAAAAAACCAACGCCCUUCGGGGCUUCUUGGUGAUUCAUGAUAACUUUACGGAUCGCAUGGCCUUGCGCCGGCGACGGUUCAUUCAAAUUUCUGCCCUAUCAACUUUCGAUGGUAAGGUAUUGGCUUACCAUGGUUUCAACGGGUAACGGGGAAUUAGGGUUCGAUUCCGGAGAGGGAGCCUGAGAAACGGCUACCACAUCCAAGGAAGGCAGCAGGCGCGCAAAUUACCCAAUCCCGACACGGGGAGGUAGUGACAAUAAAUACUGAUACAGGGCUCUUUUGGGUCUUGUAAUUGGAAUGAGUACAAUUUAAACCUCUUAACGAGGAACAAUUGGAGGGCAAGUCUGGUGCCAGCAGCCGCGGUAAUUCCAGCUCCAAUAGCGUAUAUUAAAGUUGUUGCAGUUAAAAAGCUCGUAGUUGAAACUUGGGCCUGGCUGGCAGGUCCGCCUCACCGCGUGUACUUGUCCGGCCGGGCCUUCCUUCUGGAGAACCUCAUGCCCUUCACUGGGCGUGUUGGGGACCAGGACUUUUACUUUGAAAAAAUUAGAGUGUUCAAAGCAGGCCUUUGCUCGAAUACGUUAGCAUGGAAUAAUAGAAUAGGACGUGCGGUUCUAUUUUGUUGGUUUCUAGGACCGCCGUAAUGAUUAAUAGGGACAGUCGGGGGCAUCAGUAUUCAAUUGUCAGAGGUGAAAUUCUUGGAUUUAUUGAAGACUAACUACUGCGAAAGCAUUUGCCAAGGAUGUUUUCAUUAAUCAGUGAACGAAAGUUAGGGGAUCGAAGACGAUCAGAUACCGUCGUAGUCUUAACCGUAAACUAUGCCGACUAGGGAUCGGGCGAUGUUCUUUUUUUUGACUCGCUCGGCACCUUACGAGAAAUCAAAGUUUUUGGGUUCUGGGGGGAGUAUGGUCGCAAGGCUG